GUGGCCGAACUCUAGGAAUUCUAGGCCAUCAGGCUAAAACCUAGGCCACCAACUGAAAAAUGGUAUAACUUGAUGGGAAAUCGAUAUUUUGGCGCCAACUAAAAG
This is a non-coding RNA of Caenorhabditis elegans, 105 nucleotides long. Lineage: Eukaryota; Metazoa; Nematoda; Chromadorea; Rhabditida; Rhabditidae. The record is from Ensembl.